GACGAACGCUGGCGGCGUGCUUAACACAUGCAAGUCGAACGGAAAGGCCCUGCUUGCAGGGUGCUCGAGUGGCGAACGGGUGAGUAACACGUGGGUGAUCUGCCCCUUACUUUGGGAUAAGCCUGGGAAACUGGGUCUAAUACUGGAUAGGACCAUGCUGUAGGUGGUGUGGUGGAAAGAUUAGUUUCGGUAAGGGAUGAGCUCGCGGCCUAUCAGCUUGUUGGUGGGGUAAUGGCCUACCAAGGCGUCGACGGGUAGCCGGCCUGAGAGGGUGGACGGCCACAUGGGGACUGAGAUACGGCCCAGACUCCUACGGGAGGCAGCAGUGGGGAAUAUUGCACAAUGGGCGCAAGCCUGAUGCAGCGACGCCGCGUGGGGGAUGACGGCCUUCGGGUUGUAAACUCCUUUCAGCCAUGACGAAGCCCUUGUGGUGACGGUAGUGGUAGAAGAAGCACCGGCUAACUACGUG
RNAcentral lists this ribosomal RNA (469 nucleotides) under uncultured bacterium. RNAcentral describes it as "partial 16S ribosomal RNA". It matches the Rfam family "Bacterial small subunit ribosomal RNA", at positions 28 to 507 of the family's 1533-position model. The record is from RNAcentral.